RNAcentral lists this transfer RNA (77 nucleotides) under Acinetobacter baumannii. RNAcentral's name for it is "tRNA-Met". It matches the Rfam family "tRNA". From Rfam's summary of the family: Transfer RNA (tRNA) molecules are approximately 80 nucleotides in length. The record is from RNAcentral. Lineage: Bacteria; Pseudomonadati; Pseudomonadota; Gammaproteobacteria; Moraxellales; Moraxellaceae.
UGCGGGAUGGAGCAGUCUGGUAGCUCGUUGGGCUCAUAACCCGAAGGUCGUUGGUUCAAAUCCAGCUCCCGCUACCA